GCGCCGUUAGUGUAAGGGUAAGCACGGUCCCUGUCCAGGGGGCAGGAGCGGGUCCGAGUCCCAGCACGGCGCUCCA
Molecule: transfer RNA, 76 nt
Filed under: Dehalococcoidia bacterium
Lineage: Bacteria; Bacillati; Chloroflexota; Dehalococcoidia
Also listed under: 1 other name
Description: tRNA-Gly
Source: RNAcentral